Non-coding RNA from Podarcis lilfordi (Lilford's wall lizard), 77 nucleotides. NCBI's taxonomy places the organism in Eukaryota, Metazoa, Chordata, Lepidosauria, Squamata, Lacertidae. The record is from the annotation of a GenBank genome assembly.
GAUGGGAUAGCUCAGUCAGUACAACAUGAGGCUGAUGAUCUCAGGGUUGUGGGUUCAAGCCCCAGGUUGCACAAACG